AUUACAUAAAAUAAAAAAUAAAAAUUUAGAUUAAAAUAAAUAGAUGAUAAUAAAAAAAUUUAUUGAGAUAUGAUAAAAUUUUUUAUUUCUUAAAAAUGUAUAUUUUAUUUUUUUAAUUAAUAUAAAUAGAUACUCGAAGACAACCAAACAGGUAGUUACUUUGAAAGAAAAAAAACAAAAACAAAAACAAAAAAAAGGUUAGUUAUCAGAGCCAACAUCCUCCCGAUCCGCAACGGCUCCAUCUCCGUCGCCCUCUGCACCAUCGUCGUCCUCCUUGGCUCAUCCAGUUGGGCUUCACCGCCCGCUACACUUUCCCUCACCCUGGACGAGAUCAUUGCCAACCUCGGCCUCUCCCUUCCGGUUCUCUUUGGUGUGACGGUUUCUUUACUGCUUGGCGUGACGGCGAUGUGUGUUGGUGGUGCCAGUUCUCGACUCUUGGUUCUCUGUCCAACAUCGGAGCCAUGGUGGGGAAUAUUUCCAGCGGACAUUGCGGAGGACAUCGGGCGCAAAGGAGCGAAGCAGAUCUGACCUUUUUUCUGGUUCCCGUCAGGAUCUGAUCAUGAUGAGUCUUUGACGUGAUUGUUGUUGGAAGGGUUCAGUGUCAGUGUGAGCUCCUAGACAGUAUGUUACCAUCCUUCUGCAAGCGUUUGAUCCAUUAUGGUGGAGUUUUAUGCGGUCCGACUCUUGAUCUAUAGACGUCUUAUCACUUGCCUGAUAGUUCCCAAGAACUAUCAGAGAUUGUUCCUAAGAACUUGAGAGGGGCACUCGGCUCUGUGGAUCAGAAUUCAGUGGCCUGAUCAACCAGGACACCAAUCCCAUUAGGCAUUGAUCUACAUGCACUGCAGCAGCAAAGUGGAAUCAAGUCAAUCAACAGAUACUUCCUGUUAAUAUCAAGAGCCCUGCUAAUAGUUCCACAAUACUUGCCAACCGGAUGACAUCAUUUGUGAUAACAAUGAUUGCAAAGUUACUUCUGGGCUGGAGCACCGGAGUUUGAAAUGUGUGCUCUCAAGAUACCGAUACCACUCCAUUGAUAAUAUGGGUGCCUGAGAUCAAGGGAGGAACUCUCGAGGAAUCACAGUAGUCUAUCAGAGAAAAAGAUGGAAGUAGAAUGAUGAUGGAUUCAAAACUUACUCUUUCAUGUCCUUGGCAAGCUCUAGGUUGAAUAUGUUGUCAUUCUCUCCCCACAACAAGAGUAUCCUCUGCAUCAUGUGAAAAUGAAAACACCAAGAAUAAUCAUGCUCUUCAAUUCCACAUUUUGGCAGCAUACAAGAGGUAAUGGAAGAAAUCGGAUACCUGCACACAUACCUGAUCCAAAGAGGGAACCUUCGCAUCUUUGUUGCUGAUCACCAAACCCUCGAGCAGUUCUGCCCUCUCCUUCCGAUUGCUAAACAUCACCUGUUCAUAUCCACACCGAUCAGUGGAUGGAAUCAGCAGGCAUUUGCAUGCAUGCAGUCGGUACCUCGA
Musa acuminata AAA Group (dessert banana) is the source of this 1464-nucleotide long non-coding RNA. RefSeq lists it as uncharacterized. Lineage: Eukaryota; Viridiplantae; Streptophyta; Magnoliopsida; Zingiberales; Musaceae. The record is from RefSeq and is a predicted model, not a curated record. The transcript is spliced from 6 exons.